GUCCACGCCGUAAACGAUGAAUACUAGGUGUAGGGGUAUCGACUCCCUCUGUGCCGCAGUUAACACAAUAAGUAUUCCACCUGGGGAGUACGGCCGCAAGGUUGAAACUCAAAGGAAUUGACGGGGCCCGCACAAGCAGUGGAUUAUGUGGUUUAAUUCGAAGCAACGCGAAGAACCUUACCAGGACUUGACAUCCUCUGACGACUAUAGAGAUAUAGUUUCCCUUCGGGGCAGAGAGACAGGUGGUGCAUGGUUGUCGU
RNAcentral lists this ribosomal RNA (260 nucleotides) under uncultured bacterium. RNAcentral's name for it is "partial 16S ribosomal RNA". It matches the Rfam family "Bacterial small subunit ribosomal RNA", at positions 793 to 1055 of the family's 1533-position model. The record is from RNAcentral.